GGUGGAAGAAAGUGAGAAUAAGGGGCUUAAGGACCAAAGAGGAGUAGAGACAAGGUUUUUGGUAGAACAAAACCUACAAAUACUAAAGCUUCAGAAAAGAUCAGAUUCCCCCCAAGAGGAGGUAUGUGGGUCUUUUAUAGACUCUCCAGGGAAGGAGACUUUUAUUUUUUUUCAGAUGUGGGAUUAAAGGAAAGAGUAUAGGUAUGAGAUAAUUUCUUUUUCUUUUUAUUUUUCUACUUUAUUACAUCCCGCAUCCUUUCCUUUCCAAGCAUCCACAUGAAGGAGCAACUAGCAUCCAACCCGCAUGAAUGAAACCCGCUCCCUUCUUUCUUUUUAUUAUUAUUACUUUUUUUAACCCGUUUGCCAUCUCUGUGUCGUGUCUCAAGCAUUUGAACUGCGUGAACUCACAUGAAGACCGGCCUAAAUUGCACACCCGCCCGCUGAACCCAUUCACACUCUUGUGAGCUCGUGACUACAACCGCUCACCCACAUCUACGCACAAACCACGCUCGGUCGCUCCCACUGUUGCUGCUCUGAAUGCCCUGGCUUCAUGCUCCACGCGUCCAGCUUGAUGCAGCAUCCUUGGCCAUCGUGCCAGGCCCCACACCACGUCGAGUACCCACACAAAACUUUUUCUCU
This 639-nucleotide long non-coding RNA is filed under the name Elaeis guineensis (African oil palm). RNAcentral describes it as "long non-coding RNA (EGUI_LNC040647)". Lineage: Eukaryota; Viridiplantae; Streptophyta; Magnoliopsida; Arecales; Arecaceae. The record is from RNAcentral.